Molecule: ribosomal RNA, 352 nt
Filed under: uncultured Glomeromycotina
Lineage: Eukaryota; Fungi; Glomeromycota
Description: LSU rRNA
Source: RNAcentral
CAGUCGUACCAGCGGGAAUCAACCUUUCGAGUGGGGGUUUUGGAGUUUUGAAGGGUUUCAAAACCUUUGAGAUUUCAAAAAUUUCGCUCUUUUGGUGUACUUUCUCGUGGGUAGGUUAACAUCGAUUUUGAUCAUCAUAAAAAGAUUGGAGGAAUGUAGCUUCGAUCUUGUAUUGAAGUGUUAUAGCCUUUGGUAAAUGUGAUGAUUAGGAUCGAGGAUUGCAACGAAUACCCUUUUGGGCUAUCCGCCUGAUCUCUGAUACGUGGCCUUGGUAUCGAAAGCUUGCUUAUGGUAUUAAGGUAUUACGGUCAAAAGGUUAGAACGGAUUACAUUCGUUAAGGAUGUUGACGUA